This 1208-nucleotide long non-coding RNA is filed under the name Apteryx owenii (little spotted kiwi). RNAcentral's name for it is "lncRNA (ENSAOWG00000001817.1)". The record is from RNAcentral. Lineage: Eukaryota; Metazoa; Chordata; Aves; Apterygiformes; Apterygidae.
GGGGGCUGUGAUUUGGAAGUAGCAUUCGUAUUUUCCUUUCUUUAAAGCAAGGCAGCUUCUUUGGGUCAAGCUUUCCGUGGUCUGCUGGGUUCUGCGGUGGGUUGCUCCUGCCGGUACCACGCUUUCCCUCACCGCCCUUUAUUUUGAUGGCACUGUGCCGGCUGCGGUUUCUAAAUUGGUGUCUCCCUUGUCAUCCAAGCGAGCUAGCAAGCAGCGGAUUAAUCAAAUUAGCUCUACAGAUGCAUUCAAAACACCCGAUUUUGAUGUCACAAAGUUGGUGGGAGGAUUUUCAAUAGCAAGGCUUUUUCUGUUUGGCAAAUACUCUUUGGAGAGCUAGAGACGCCAACGUUCAGAGUGAAGCCCCUUACAGACUUGCUUUGCUGUACUUCUGGAAGUUGAACGUGUGAACAAAUGUCCAAAGAAAAUAGUCAUAAGAUUGUAAAAUAGACCAAUGUCCUGUAAAAAUGUGUGUAGUGGUGGCAGUGUGUAGCAGGGAUCCCCUGGCAAAAUUCUGUGUUGAAAAUCCCCUGUUUGCUAUUGCAGGGUUUAUGGCAGAAGUAUAAAUUUAUCUGAAUGUAGAAGACUUUGUUUGUUUUUGGAAGUGCCCUUUCCUGAUAUACCUGGCUUAAUGCAAAUAAUCCAAAAACUCUCUCUGCAGUUGGAAGAACAAAAGAAAUGGACUGGCCUGGUUUUGGAAGAACAUCUCAUUUUUCAAAAUGGCAAUUCUUUUUUUUUUUUUUUUUUUUUUUUUUUUUUUUUUUUUUUGUGGUUUUUUUUGUUUUUUUUUUUUUUUUUUUUUUUUUUUUUUUUAACUCUCUGGGGAGGCUCCUGGCAGUGCUCCCUCGCACGUGGACGCAGACACUGUUGCAAUCCCAGCGCUGCUGUGCGGAGGACUGUCACCAGUGCAUCGCAUGCCAAAACAUAAAGGGCUGCAAUACCAUCUGUUCAGGCUACCGGAGCCGUGUUAGAAAAGAAAAUCCAUUGCCCUGGCGUAGGGAGGGAAAGCCAGGUCUGCUCUGUCGUAAUUCAAAGGACCGUCGCUUCUGGGGGUUUGAAACAUCCAGGCGGAGAACGGGCAGGAAACCAAGUUACCGUGUAAGUUGUUGAUAAAGUGGAGACCAACUUUUGGGCAUGUGAAACCUUUUAGUUCCCUUGGAGGUUAUCCUUGCUCCGCCAACUGAGGGAAACUUCCAUCUUCCCAUUAAAAU